Molecule: long non-coding RNA, 246 nt
Filed under: Lathyrus oleraceus (garden pea)
Lineage: Eukaryota; Viridiplantae; Streptophyta; Magnoliopsida; Fabales; Fabaceae
Description: Pisum sativum (pea) long non-coding RNA (PSAT_LNC017447)
Source: RNAcentral
AAGUGUUGGGAUUGGUGGAUGUGGGGGGAUUGAUAUUGUGGUAGGUGUUAGGACUGUUGAUGGUGGUGGGAAUGUUGAGGUUGGUGUUGGUAAUCUUCAUGGUAUUGGGGUUGAGUUUGUGGUAUGUAGUGUUGAUUUGGUUGGGGGGUGGACAUGUGUUGGGGUGGUUGUUGUUGGUAAUACGGUGGUGGUGGCUGUUGUUGGUAAUAAGGUGGUGGUGGUUGUUGUUGGUAAUAUGGUGGUGGU